RNAcentral lists this ribosomal RNA (253 nucleotides) under uncultured bacterium. Its description in RNAcentral is "partial 16S ribosomal RNA". It matches the Rfam family "Bacterial small subunit ribosomal RNA", at positions 524 to 776 of the family's 1533-position model. The record is from RNAcentral.
GACGGAGGGUGCUAGCGUUGUUCGGAAUUACUGGGCGUAAAGCGCACGUAGGCGGAUUUGUAAGUCAGGGGUGAAAUCCCGGGGCUCAACCUCGGAACUGCCUUUGAUACUGCAAAUCUCGAGUCCGGAAGAGGUGAGUGGAAUUCCUAGUGUAGAGGUGAAAUUCGUAGAUAUUAGGAAGAACACCAGUGGCGAAGGCGGCUCACUGGUCCGGUACUGACGCUGAGGUGCGAAAGCGUGGGGAGCAAACAGG